Potamilus streckersoni is the source of this 74-nucleotide non-coding RNA. NCBI's taxonomy places the organism in Eukaryota, Metazoa, Mollusca, Bivalvia, Unionida, Unionidae. The record is from the annotation of a GenBank genome assembly.
CACUCCAGUAGCUUAGUGGUUAGAGUGUCUGCCUCAGAUAUAUGAAGUCGUGGGUUCAAUCCCCGGUUGAGUCA